This 231-nucleotide long non-coding RNA is filed under the name Lathyrus oleraceus (garden pea). RNAcentral's name for it is "Pisum sativum (pea) long non-coding RNA (PSAT_LNC004894)". Lineage: Eukaryota; Viridiplantae; Streptophyta; Magnoliopsida; Fabales; Fabaceae. The record is from RNAcentral.
AAAGGUGCAAGCCACAAGGCACAAACUUAAGUUUCAAAACCUACAAAACAAACUCAAGGUUAGUCAUAAACAAGCAAUGGACCAAUUCCAAUUGAGUGCACAUCAUCAAGCAUAAGCAAUUGUGCUCUUAACCUGAAACAAAGCUCAAAUGUGAGAGCACAAACCACUAGUCCAAGACUAGGGUCAAAAUGGGAGAAAUAAAUCAAAACAGAACAUGAAACUUAUCAAAAG